UACGUAGGGUGCAAGCGUUAAUCGGAAUUACUGGGCGUAAAGCGUGCGCAGGCGGUGAUGUAAGACAGGUGUGAAAUCCCCGGGCUUAACCUGGGAACUGCAUUUGUGACUGCAUCGCUGGAGUGCGGCAGAGGGGGAUGGAAUUCCGCGUGUAGCAGUGAAAUGCGUAGAUAUGCGGAGGAACACCGAUGGCGAAGGCGAUCCCCUGGGCCUGCACUGACGCUCAUGCACGAAAGCGUGGGGAGCAAACAGG
This 253-nucleotide ribosomal RNA is filed under the name uncultured bacterium. RNAcentral's name for it is "partial 16S ribosomal RNA". It matches the Rfam family "Bacterial small subunit ribosomal RNA", at positions 524 to 776 of the family's 1533-position model. The record is from RNAcentral.